Molecule: ribosomal RNA, 119 nt
Filed under: Arabidopsis suecica
Lineage: Eukaryota; Viridiplantae; Streptophyta; Magnoliopsida; Brassicales; Brassicaceae
Source: RNAcentral
GGAUGCGAUCAUACCAGCACUAAUGCACCGGAUCCAUCAGAACUCCGCAGAUAAGCGUGCUUGGGCGAGAGUAGUACUAGGAUGGGUGACCUCCCGGGAAGUCCUCGUGUUUGCAUCCU